AUGUCAUCUGCAAAGAGCGAUAAUUUGGUCUCCUCCUUGACUAUUUUAAUGCCCUCAAUUUCUUUUUCUUCUCUAAUUGCUACUGCUAGUGUUUCUAAUAAAAUGUCAAAUAAUAAAGGUGAUAAUGGGCAUCCUUGUUUCACUCCUGAUCUUAAUGGGAAUGGAUUUAGUUUAUCCCCAUUGCAGAUGAUAUUAGUUGAUGGUUUUAGAUAUAUACUGUUUAUUAUUUUUAGGAAUGGCCCUUCUAUUCCUAUGCUUUCCAGUGUUGUUUUUUUUUUUUAUUUUUUUCUAAAACAGUUUUUUAAUUGUAAAGUUCAUAACAACAAGAUUGGAUAGUAUAGCACAUGUUUUUUUCCCAUAUUCAUACUUCACACCAGGGGUAAAUUUAAACAGAGAAAAGUUUAUACACACACAACCCUUUACUUACCUAUAACCAAUAUCCUAGAUAUCAAUAUGAAUUGCUGGAACAAUGACUUAUCAGUUUUGUCCACAGUUUAUAGAUAGCUUUAUGGACAAGGUCAGAUGUUCCCUGGGACAAUGUUAACCGGAGAGAAUCCAAUUCAACAACAGAGAAUAAUAAAAUGCUUCCUCUACAUUUCA
Molecule: long non-coding RNA, 600 nt
Filed under: Monodelphis domestica (gray short-tailed opossum)
Lineage: Eukaryota; Metazoa; Chordata; Mammalia; Didelphimorphia; Didelphidae
Description: lncRNA (ENSMODG00000045881.1)
Source: RNAcentral